RNAcentral lists this ribosomal RNA (504 nucleotides) under Acrobeloides sp. PS-1146. Its description in RNAcentral is "SSU rRNA". It matches the Rfam family "Eukaryotic small subunit ribosomal RNA", at positions 88 to 590 of the family's 1831-position model. The record is from RNAcentral. Lineage: Eukaryota; Metazoa; Nematoda; Chromadorea; Rhabditida; Cephalobidae.
CGCGAAUGGCUCAUUAUAACAGCUAUAAUUUACUUGAUCUUGACACUAUCCUACUUGGAUAACUGUGGUAAUUCUAGAGCCAAUACAUGCAUUAAAGCUCUGACCUCACGGGAAGAGUGCACUUAUUAGAACAAAACCAAGCGGCUUCGGCUGUUUUCGGUUGACUCAUAGUAACUGAGCUGAUCGCACGGUCUUGCACCGGCGACGUGUCUUUCAAGUAUCUGCCGUAUCAACUUUCGAUGGUAGUGUAUCUGACUACCAUGGUGAUCACGCGGGGCGGAGAAUAAGGGGGGGGGGGGGAGAGUUCGCCUGAGAAAUCGCGAACACAUCUAAGGAAGGGAGCAGGCGCGAAAAUUACCCACUCUCAGCACGAGGAGGUAGUGACGAAAAAUAACGAGACCGUUCUCUUAUGAGGCCGGUCAUCGGAAUGGGUACAAUUUAAACCCUUUAACGAGUAUCUAUGAGAGGGCAAGUCUGGUGCCAGCAGCCGCGGUAAUUCCAGCU